GACGAACGCUGGCGGCGUGCUUAACACAUGCAAGUCGAACGGUGAAGCGCCUUCCUUUUGGUGGGUGUGGAUGAGUGGCGAACGGGUGAGUAACACGUGAGUAACCUGCCCCCUUCUUCUGGAUAACCGCAUGAAAGUGUGGCUAAUACGGGAUAUUCUGGGUCUGUCGCAUGGUGGGCCUGGGAAAGAUGCGCCUUUGGGUGUUUUUGGUGGGGGAUGGGCUCGCGGCCUAUCAGCUUGUUGGUGGGGUGAUGGCCUACCAAGGCGGUGACGGGUAGCCGGCCUGAGAGGGUGGACGGUCACACUGGGACUGAGACACGGCCCAGACUCCUACGGGAGGCAGCAGUGGGGAAUAUUGCACAAUGGGCGCAAGCCUGAUGCAGCGACGCCGCGUGAGGGAUGGAGGCCUUCGGGUUGUAAACCUCUUUCGCCAGUGAAGCAGGCCUGUCCCUUUUGUGGGUGGGUUGACGGUAGCUGGAUAAGAAGCGCCGGCUAACUACGUGCCAGCAGCCGCGGUAAUACGUAGGGCGCGAGCGUUGUCCGGAAUUAUUGGGCGUAAAGAGCUCGUAGGCGGCUGGUCGCGUCUGUCGUGAAAUCCUCUGGCUUAACUGGGGGCUUGCGGUGGGUACGGGCCGGCUUGAGUGCGGUAGGGGAGACUGGAACUCCUGGUGUAGCGGUGGAAUGCGCAGAUAUCAGGAAGAACACCGGUGGCGAAGGCGGGUCUCUGGGCCGUUACUGACGCUGAGGAGCGAAAGCGUGGGGAGCGAACAGGAUUAGAUACCCUGGUAGUCCACGCCGUAAACGUUGGGCACUAGGUGUGGGGGGCCUUUUCCGGGUCUUCCGCGCCGUAGCUAACGCAUUAAGUGCCCCGCCUGGGGAGUACGGCCGCAAGGCUAAAACUCAAAGGAAUUGACGGGGGCCCGCACAAGCGGCGGAGCAUGCGGAUUAAUUCGAUGCAACGCGAAGAACCUUACCAAGGCUUGACAUGUGCCGGUCGGCUCCGGAGACGGGGUUUCCUCCUUGUGGGGCCGGUUCACAGGUGGUGCAUGGUUGUCGUCAGCUCGUGUCGUGAGAUGUUGGGUUAAGUCCCGCAACGAGCGCAACCCUUGUCCCGUGUUGCCAGCACGUUGUGGUGGGGACUCGCGGGAGACUGCCGGGGUCAACUCGGAGGAAGGUGGGGAUGACGUCAAAUCAUCAUGCCCCUUAUGUCUUGGGCUUCACGCAUGCUACAAUGGCCGGUACAGAGGGCUGCGAUACCGUGAGGUGGAGCGAAUCCCUUAAAGCCGGUCUCAGUUCGGAUCGGUGUCUGCAACUCGACACCGUGAAGUUGGAGUCGCUAGUAAUCGCAGAUCAGCAACGCUGCGGUGAAUACGUUCUCGGGCCU
Molecule: ribosomal RNA, 1384 nt
Filed under: uncultured bacterium
Lineage: Bacteria
Description: bacterial SSU rRNA
Rfam family: Bacterial small subunit ribosomal RNA
Source: RNAcentral